UUACCUGGUCUUGACAUCCACAGAACUUUCCAGAGAUGGAUUGGUGCCUUCGGGAACUGUGAGACAGGUGCUGCAUGGCUGUCGUCAGCUCGUGUUGUGAAAUGUUGGGUUAAGUCCCGCAACGAGCGCAACCCUUAUCCUUUGUUGCCAGCGGUCCGGCCGGGAACUCAAAGGAGACUGCCAGUGAUAAACUGGAGGAAGGUGGGGAUGACGUCAAGUCAUCAUGGCCCUUACGACCAGGGCUACACACGUGCUACAAUGGCGCAUACAAAGAGAAGCGACCUCGCGAGAGCAAGCGGACCUCAUAAAGUGCGUCGUAGUCCGGAUUGGAGUCUGCAACUCGACUCCAUGAAGUCGGAAUCGCUAGUAAUCGUGGAUCAGAACGCCACGGUGAAUACGUUCCCGGGCCUUGUACACACCGCCCGUCACACCAUGGGAGUGGGUUGCAAAAGAAGUAGGUAGCUUAACCUUCGGGAGGGCGCUUACCACUUUGUGAUUCAUGACUGGGGUGAAGUCGUAACAAGGUAACCGUAGGGGAACCUGCGGUUGGAUCACCUC
This 558-nucleotide ribosomal RNA is filed under the name Escherichia coli. RNAcentral describes it as "bacterial SSU rRNA". It matches the Rfam family "Bacterial small subunit ribosomal RNA", at positions 971 to 1529 of the family's 1533-position model. Lineage: Bacteria; Pseudomonadati; Pseudomonadota; Gammaproteobacteria; Enterobacterales; Enterobacteriaceae. The record is from RNAcentral.